This 468-nucleotide ribosomal RNA is filed under the name uncultured bacterium. RNAcentral's name for it is "partial 16S ribosomal RNA". It matches the Rfam family "Bacterial small subunit ribosomal RNA", at positions 28 to 507 of the family's 1533-position model. The record is from RNAcentral.
GACGAACGCUGGCGGCGUGCUUAACACAUGCAAGUCGAACGGAAAGGCCCUGCUGUUGUGGGGUGCUCGAAUGGCGAACGGGUGAGUAACACGUGAGUAACCUGCCCUUGGCUUUGGGGUAACUUCAGGAAACUGGGGCUAAUACCGGAUAGGAGCUCCUGCUGCAUGGUGGGGGGUGGCAAGUUUCGGCGGUUGGGGAUGGACUCGCGGCUUAUCAGCUUGUUGGUGGGGUAGUGGCUUACCAAGGCUUUGACGGGUAGCCGGCCUGAGAGGGUGAACGGCCACAUUGGGACUGAGAGGCGGCGCAGACUCCUACGGGGGGCAGCAGUGGCGAAUAUUGCACAAUGGGCGGAAGCCUGAUGCAGCAACGCCGCGUUCGGGAUGACGGCCUUCGGGUUGUAAACCGCUUUCGCCUGUGACGAAGCGUGAGUGACGGUAAUGGGUAAAGAAGCACCGGCUAACUACGUG